Molecule: transfer RNA, 73 nt
Filed under: Enterococcus faecalis
Lineage: Bacteria; Bacillati; Bacillota; Bacilli; Lactobacillales; Enterococcaceae
Description: tRNA-Thr
Source: RNAcentral
UCGGGAAGACAGGAUUCGAACCUGCGACCCCUUGGUCACAAACCAAGUGCUCUCCAAGCUGAGCUACUUCCCG